UACGGAGGGGACUAGCGUUGUUCGGAAUUACUGGGCGUAAAGCGCACGUAGGCGGAUUUGUAAGUCAGGGGUGAAAUCCCGGGGCUCAACCUCGGAACUGCCUUUGAUACUGCAAAUCUCGAGUCCGGAAGAGGUGAGUGGAAUUCCUAGUGUAGAGGUGAAAUUCGUAGAUAUUAGGAAGAACACCAGUGGCGAAGGCGGCUCACUGGUCCGGUACUGGA
Molecule: ribosomal RNA, 221 nt
Filed under: uncultured bacterium
Lineage: Bacteria
Description: partial 16S ribosomal RNA
Rfam family: Bacterial small subunit ribosomal RNA
Source: RNAcentral